AAAAGUUGGUUUCAAACACGUGCGUCGCAAAGUGGUUAAUAAAUCCUUUAUGAGACAUGUAACGGACGCCAUUUAACCAUAUAUUUUGUCAAACAAUACAAUCAACACCUUUAUUAAUUGGUCCUUUGUUGCCUACAGCUAUAAAAUGCAACCAGCUGAUUAUUGAUUUUCCCUCAAAAUCUUAACGAGUUCAAGGUGAAUUCCGAGUAUUGUCUGAUCAGGUAAAGUC
This 229-nucleotide long non-coding RNA is filed under the name Mytilus galloprovincialis (Mediterranean mussel). The record is from RNAcentral. Lineage: Eukaryota; Metazoa; Mollusca; Bivalvia; Mytilida; Mytilidae.